This is a small nuclear RNA of Vombatus ursinus (common wombat), 105 nucleotides long. NCBI's taxonomy places the organism in Eukaryota, Metazoa, Chordata, Mammalia, Diprotodontia, Vombatidae. The record is from Ensembl.
CUAUUCACUUCAGCAACACACAUAUUACAAUUAGAGUAAUAUAGAGAAAAUCUGCAUGACCCCUAUACAAGAAUGACACAAAUUUGAGAAGUGUUUUGUAUUGUU